RNAcentral lists this ribosomal RNA (506 nucleotides) under uncultured bacterium. RNAcentral describes it as "partial 16S ribosomal RNA". It matches the Rfam family "Bacterial small subunit ribosomal RNA", at positions 30 to 523 of the family's 1533-position model. The record is from RNAcentral.
AUUGAACGCUGGCGGAAUGCUUUACACAUGCAAGUCGGACGGUAGCACAGGGGAGCUUGCUCCCCGGGUGACGAGUGGCGGACGGGUGAGUAAUGUCUGGGAAACUGCCUGAUGGAGGGGGAUAACUACUGGAAACGGUAGCUAAUACCGCAUAACGUCGCAAGACCAAAGAGGGGGACCUUCGGGCCUCUUGCCAUCAGAUGUGCCCAGAUGGGAUUAGCAAGUAGGUGGGGUAACGGCUCACCUAGGCGACGAUCCCUAGCUGGUCUGGGAGGAUGACCAGCCACACAGUAACUGAGACACGGUCCAAACUCCGACGGGAGGCAGCAGUGGGGAAUAUUGCACAAUGGGCGCAAGCCUGAUGCAGCCAUGCCGCGUGUAUGAAGAAGGCCUUCGGGUUGUAAAGUACUUUCAGCGGGGAGGAAGGUGUUGUGGUUAAUAACCACAGCAAUUGACGUUACCCGCAGAAGAAGCACCGGCUAACUCCGUGCCAGCAGCCGCGGUAA